UGGACGCCCGGUAGCUGCGCAAAUCGCGACCCUGCAGCGCAGGUAUAAGAAUGCCUCCAGCACGCUGGAAAGCUGUACUCCAGCCAUGGCUCUCCGGUCCCGCUCCGCGCUGCUGCUGCUUCUGCUCGUGCUCGUGGUCGUUCUAGCGGCGUUGACGGACGUCGCCUGGGCGUCGAGACCGCUCUACUUCCCCAAGCUCAAGGCCAACGCCUGCCCUCCGGGAUCAAAAUACUUCGGUGGCCGUUGCAGAGUGAUCAUCCACUGAGAUUACUGUUGGCAAUGCGGGCUAUGGUCGAUGCUCGGGAUGAAGACGCAGAUGUUCUUCACUCCAGGUCGCAGCACCGAUACUAGAAACGUGUGCACUUGCUGCAGGUCUCUGUAGCCAACGAAUGGCCACAGAGCCACUACUGUAGUUAUUUAUUUCUAGAUGAAGUGCAAAAGAAACAAAAAAUACAAAUAGCCAUAAGCAUUUAUUCUAUAAUAUCAUGUAACUGUAUUUCGUAUUUUAAUAUUGUGUUUCCAUUAAGAGUUUAAUUACUGAAGGUUUUGAGCCAUUUUCUUAGAACUUCCAAAAGCCAAAAUAACAGUAUUUCAGUCAGUUUUACACUCAAAUAUUCGCCAAUUAUUACUCAGUUUCAGUGGACACUACGGGCAUAUUUUUGUAGUUAUUGAACUUCACACAGUCACGUUUUGUGUUCUUCAACAUAAUCUAUGAAACUAUCGUUACCAUGGCUUACUGCUUUUUCAGUACACUAGGCCACGUAAUUCACCUGUUUUCUGCAAAAGAAAAUAAAUUUACCUGUCAUUCCUUUAUAACCUGUACUACAUAAAUGUUUUGACCUAUGUCGCAUCAUGCUGUAUAUCGUUACGAGUAAAGAGGAAACAGAACUCACUUCCUGUACACAACAAUGGUUUCCCUGUAUGGCUAGAUUAUCAUUUUAGUAAUCUAACCAUACUAGUGGAGCACUGAAUAUUUUUUUACCUUGCUCUGUAUCAUAAAUCCACAAAUAAACUAUAUUUAAACGUAA
Schistocerca cancellata (South American locust) is the source of this 1028-nucleotide long non-coding RNA. RefSeq lists it as uncharacterized. NCBI's taxonomy places the organism in Eukaryota, Metazoa, Arthropoda, Insecta, Orthoptera, Acrididae. The transcript is spliced from 2 exons. The record is from RefSeq and is a predicted model, not a curated record.